UGGCGAGUGGCGAACGGGUGAGUAAUACAUCGGAACGUGCCCUGUAGUGGGGGAUAACUAGUCGAAAGAUUAGCUAAUACCGCAUACGACCUGAGGGUGAAAGUGGGGGACCGCAAGGCCUCAUGCUAUAGGAGCGGCCGAUGUCUGAUUAGCUAGUUGGUGAGGUAAAGGCUCACCAAGGCGACGAUCAGUAGCUGGUCUGAGAGGACGAUCAGCCACACUGGGACUGAGACACGGCCCAGACUCCUAAGGGAGGCAGCAGUGGGGAAUUUUGGACAAUGGGCGAAAGCCUGAUCCAGCAAUGCCGCGUGUGUGAAGAAGGCCUUCGGGUUGUAAAGCACUUUUGUCCGGAAAGAAAUGGCUCUGGUUAUACCUGGGGUCGAUGACGGUACCGGAAGAAUAAGGACCGGCUAACUACGUGCCAGCAGCCGCGGUAAUACGUAGGGUCCAAGCGUUAAUCGGAAUUACUGGGCGUAAAGCGUGCGCAGGCGGUUGUGCAAGACCGAUGUGAAAUCCCCGAGCUUAACUUGGGAAUUGCAUUGGUGACUGCACGGCUAGAGUGUGUCAGAGGGGGGUAGAAUUCCACGUGUAGCAGUGAAAUGCGUAGAGAUGUGGAGGAAUACCGAUGGCGAAGGCAGCCCCCUGGGAUAACACUGACGCUCAUGCACGAAAGCGUGGGGAGCAAACAGGAUUAGAUACCCUGGUAGUCCACGCCCUAAACGAUGUCAACUAGUUGUUGGGGAUUCAUUUCCUUAGUAACGUAGCUAACGCGUGAAGUUGACCGCCUGGGGAGUACGGUCGCAAGAUUAAAACUCAAAGGAAUUGACGGGGACCCGCACAAGCGGUGGAUGAUGUGGAUUAAUUCGAUGCAACGCGAAAAACCUUACCUACCCUUGACAUGCCACUAACGAAGCAGAGAUGCAUUAGGUGCUCGAAAGAGAAAGUGGACACAGGUGCUGCAUGGCUGUCGUCAGCUCGUGUCGUGAGAUGUUGGGUUAAGUCCCGCAACGAGCGCAACCCUUGUCUCUAGUUGCUACGAAAGGGCACUCUAGAGAGACUGCCGGUGACAAACCGGAGGAAGGUGGGGAUGACGUCAAGUCCUCAUGGCCCUUAUGGGUAGGGCUUCACACGUCAUACAAUGGUGCAUACAGAGGGUUGCCAAGCCGCGAGGUGGAGCUAAUCCCAGAAAAUGCAUCGUAGUCCGGAUCGUAGUCUGCAACUCGACUACGUGAAGCUGGAAUCGCUAGUAAUCGCGGAUC
This 1259-nucleotide ribosomal RNA is filed under the name Ralstonia pickettii. RNAcentral's name for it is "bacterial SSU rRNA". It matches the Rfam family "Bacterial small subunit ribosomal RNA", at positions 89 to 1350 of the family's 1533-position model. The record is from RNAcentral. Lineage: Bacteria; Pseudomonadati; Pseudomonadota; Betaproteobacteria; Burkholderiales; Burkholderiaceae.